Molecule: small nucleolar RNA, 84 nt
Filed under: Leersia perrieri
Lineage: Eukaryota; Viridiplantae; Streptophyta; Magnoliopsida; Poales; Poaceae
Source: RNAcentral
UGCAACCUGUGAUGCAAAACAACCCAUUUACUGAAUUGCAUUGAUUAUUCCAUAAAAAAUCACCAUCUUUCGGCUGAGGCUGCA